AAAACACUAACGAACGCUGGCGGCAGGCUUAACACAUGCAAGUCGAGCGCCCCGCAAGGGGAGCGGCAGACGGGUGAGUAACGCGUGGGAAUCUACCUAGCUCUACGGAAUAACCCAGGGAAACUUGGACUAAUACCGUAUACGUCCUUCGGGAGAAAGAUUUAUCGGAGUUGGAUGAGCCCGCGUUGGAUUAGCUAGUUGGUGGGGUAAUGGCCUACCAAGGCGACGAUCCAUAGCUGGUCUGAGAGGAUGAUCAGCCACACUGGGACUGAGACACGGCCCAG
This 284-nucleotide ribosomal RNA is filed under the name uncultured bacterium. RNAcentral's name for it is "partial 16S ribosomal RNA". It matches the Rfam family "Bacterial small subunit ribosomal RNA", at positions 29 to 334 of the family's 1533-position model. The record is from RNAcentral.